This 522-nucleotide ribosomal RNA is filed under the name uncultured Geobacteraceae bacterium. Its description in RNAcentral is "bacterial SSU rRNA". It matches the Rfam family "Bacterial small subunit ribosomal RNA", at positions 9 to 526 of the family's 1533-position model. Lineage: Bacteria; Pseudomonadati; Thermodesulfobacteriota; Desulfuromonadia; Geobacterales; Geobacteraceae. The record is from RNAcentral.
GAGUUUGAUCCUGGCUCAGAUUGAACGCUGGCGGUAUGCUUUACACAUGCAAGUCGAACGGCAGCACGGGGGCAACCCUGGUGGCGAGUGGCGAACGGGCGAGUAACAUAUCGGAACAUAUCCGGAAGUGGGGGAUAGCUCGGCGAAAGCCGGAUUAAUACCGCAUAUGCCCUGAGGGGGAAAGGGGGGGAUCGCAAGACCUCUCACUUUCGGAGUGGCCGAUAUCARAUUAGCUAGUUGGKGGGGUAAAGGCCCACCAAGGCRACGAUCUGUAGCUGGUCUGARAGGACGACCAGCCACACUGGAACUGAGACACGGUCCAGACUCCUACGGGAGGCAGCAGUGGGGAAUUUUGGACAAUGGGCGCAAGCCUGAUCCAGCCAUACCGCGUGAGUGAAGAAGGCCUUCGGGUUGUAAAGCUCUUUCAGCCGGAAAGAAAACGUGCGGGUUAAUAACCCGUAUGGAUGACGGUACCGGAAGAAGAAGCACCGGCUAACUACGUGCCAGCAGCCGCGGWAAUAC